Molecule: long non-coding RNA, 2366 nt
Organism: Lemur catta (Ring-tailed lemur)
Lineage: Eukaryota; Metazoa; Chordata; Mammalia; Primates; Lemuridae
Exons: 6
Source: RefSeq, a predicted model, not a curated record
UCGCGGCUCUGCUGUUUUUUGGGAAGUGCUAGAAACACGGCCAUAAAAAGAAUGGCGUCCAUUUACAUAAUGCUUUGUUUGCAUUUUGCAAGUUUCUGUCUGUUAAAGCCACCGAAACCCCACCUCCUGCCCUUGUGUCGUUUCAACCGCGGCAUCCUUGUCAGGCAUUUGAAACAAUAGUGUGUUUCUGUGGAGGCCUCAUUUAUUCAGGCGAUUUGGGGAGUGCCUGCGGUUUUUCCCGCGCGGUCAACGCCCCCUCUGCUGCUUUUCCGCCCCUUCCCCUCAGUGCGGCCGCCGCGCCCUGCGCUCUCCGGGGCGGCCCUGAUGGGGCCCGCCAUCUUGGAAGGCCUUUCCUGCUGAAUUCCUCCCGCUGAGGAAACGUCGCUCGAGUAGUCACUGGCCUACGAGUUCUGAUUUCUGCCCCUUCCCCUUCCUCCUAGGGCUAAGCCAGACCAGGAAAGGCCGUGUGCGCAAUGUGCUUUAGGAUCCCUCGGGAAAAGAGGCCAACGUGGCGUUCCUCCGCCUCCCCCUCUUCUUUCCCCGCGGGGGCGGCCGCCAUGUUUUCUGAACACAAAAUGGCGACACGUGGCCUGGAUUCGUCGCCAACGAGAAAUUGGGGUGGGCCCGAAAGCUCUAGAAUGCACCCUCUUUACUCCCCGGGGCCUUCGCUGCGCUGCGAGCAUUGUGACCACUCCCUCAAAAUCCCCCUGCUGGUCCGAAGCUCAGCGGGAGAAUUUUAACGCGAUACCCUGGCUUUAAUUUGAAAAGGGAUCCUGUAACAUGUAGGCAUGAUAUUGAUUUUCUUGUUCUUUUUAAGUUUAAUAAUGGAUAACGGAGGGGGGGCAGUACCAAGAAAUAAUUUGAGCCUCCACAGUACCAAAGCAUUUGAAUGAGAUGGGAAGUGACUGCUUUCCUAGAUUUCUUAGUCCAGGCUGUCGUGCUUGAGAGACCAAGAUAUUGUGUAAGGCUUCCAUAAAAGCAGAACAAUCUCCACGAAGAGACUAGGAUGCUUAUGACUUUUCCACAGGCCAGCUGGCUGGGGAAUCUCAGUCUACCGCAAUAGGUGUUCCCUUUUAGUCUAGAAAGGACAGGCGUUUAUUGUGCGUUUGUCAGUGCCAGAUUCUGUGGUAGGAAUUUUACUGCAUACUGCCUUUAAUUUUUACCGUGAUCCUCUGAGGUAGGUGUUAUUGCACGCUCUCUCUUUCUCUCUCUCCUUUUUUUAUUUUUUAUUUUUUUAACAGAGGAAGACAUUUAAACCUAGAGAGAUGAAGUGACUAAUUCAAGGUCACGCAGUGUCGGGGGAUGGAGUCCAGACCUGAUUUCCUUACUGGUUUGACUUCCGUCUUCCCCACCCUAACCAGGUACUUAUCCCUGUAUUACAUGAGGAAAAUGAAAUACUAGAACCCUACCCCAUGCUACUCAGUGAGCUGGUAGUGAGGUCAGUCCGUAGAACCAUACUACGUAAGUAUAAUCCAUAUUCCACAUGCCAGCCUUACAAACCUUUGAAGACAGUCUUCCUCUUUAUAAGGCAUAUUUCCUGUCGUUCAUAGCAUCUACACUUGCUGUCAAUUCAGAUAAGUCUGUGCAAAAGCAACCUCUACCUUGCGCUAUUUUGCAAAUACAGCCUAACAAAUCUGUGCUUCACUUGUGAUUGUUUAGGCACAAAGUGAAUGGACUUCCCCACAUCAUUGGAGAGUGAAUGAUGGUGGGCUAAAUCUUUAUAAUUGCAUAUGAGUCUGGAGAGUUUGUAGUCUCUUACUUUUAAAAUCUUUAGGAGGUCAGGCUGCUGCCCUGCACACUCCAUCAGAGCUCACAAAAUGGCUGGAAGUUUAUCCGGGCACUUGACAAACUGUAUUUACUUCAUCAGGCCACUAGGUGGUGAACAACUCACAAACCCAGCCUGCCAGGCACUGCUGUGUACAGGACAGUUUCUGUUUGUACUUAGAAAGGCUAUCAGAAGUCAUCCGGUCCAACCUCAUUGAAAGGUUUUUUGUGGGGAGAGCCAUCUGGUAUGUGACUGCGUGAGGUGUGAGGCUCAGCAGGCUCUGAUAUGGACUAACUAAUGGUGAAUCAGCUGUUGGCUCGGUUGCCAAGCCUGCAAAAUGUAAGCCUCAUGCUGCUGGGGCCAUCCUACUACGCCAAGGGGAAUGCUGCCUGAGACAGAGGCCAGCACAGAUGAAAGCUGAGCUGCGACAUGAAAGAAGUGGAGACCAGAUGACAUCUUUUGAGCACCUGGAUCUAACCAUGCCUUCAGCUAAUCUAGCCUGGACAUUGCAUUUACAUGGGCCCAGACCUUCUUUCUUUUUUUUUUUUUUGAGACAGAGUCUCACUCUGUUGCCCGGGCUAGAGUGAGUGCCGUGGCAUCA